RNAcentral lists this ribosomal RNA (468 nucleotides) under uncultured bacterium. RNAcentral's name for it is "partial 16S ribosomal RNA". It matches the Rfam family "Bacterial small subunit ribosomal RNA", at positions 28 to 507 of the family's 1533-position model. The record is from RNAcentral.
GACGAACGCUGGCGGCGUGCUUAACACAUGCAAGUCGAACGGAAAGGCCCUGCGUUUGUGGGGUGCUCGAGUGGCGAACGGGUGAGUAACACGUGAGUAACCUGCCCUUGACUUUGGGAUAACUUCAGGAAACUGGGGCUAAUACCGGAUAGGAGCUCCUGAUGCAUGGUGGGGGUUGGAAAGUUUCGGCGGUUGGGGAUGGACUCGCGGCUUAUCCGCUUGUUGGUGGGGUAGUGGCUUACCAGGGCUUUGACGGGUAGCCGGCCUGAGAGGGUGACCGGCCACAUUGGGACUGAGAUACGGCCCAGACUCCUACGGGAGGCAGCGGUGGGGAAUAUUGCAGAAUGGGCGGAAGCCUGAGGCAGCAACGUCGCGUGCGGGAUGACGGCUUUCGGGUUGUAAACCGCUUUCGCCUGUGACGAAGCGUGAGUGACGGUAAUGGGUAAAGAAGCACCGGCUAACUACGUG